This 253-nucleotide ribosomal RNA is filed under the name uncultured bacterium. Its description in RNAcentral is "partial 16S ribosomal RNA". It matches the Rfam family "Bacterial small subunit ribosomal RNA", at positions 524 to 776 of the family's 1533-position model. The record is from RNAcentral.
UACGAAGGGGGCUAGCGUUGUUCGGAAUUACUGGGCGUAAAGCGCACGUAGGCGGCUUCAAAAGUCGGAUGUGAAAUCCCACGGCUCAACCGUGGACGUGCAUCCGAAACUGGGAGGCUUGAGUACUGAAGAGGAUCGCGGAAUUCCCGGUGUAGAGGUGAAAUUCGUAGAUAUCGGGAGGAACACCAGUGGCGAAGGCGGCGAUCUGGGCAGAUACUGACGCUGAGGUGCGAAAGCGUGGGGAGCAAACAGG